CCUACGGGCGGCUGCAGUGGGGAAUAUUGGACAAUGGGGGGAACCCUGAUCCAGCCAUGCCGCGUGUGUGAAGAAGGCCCUCGGGUUGUAAAGCACUUUCAGUGAGGAAGAACGCCUGGUGGUUAAUACCCAUCAGGAAAGACAUCACUCACAGAAGAAGCACCGGCUAACUCCGUGCCAGCAGCCGCGGUAAUACGGAGGGUGCGAGCGUUAAUCGGAAUUACUGGGCGUAAAGCGCGCGUAGGUGGCUUGAUAAGCCGGUUGUGAAAGCCCCGGGCUCAACCUGGGAACGGCAUCCGGAACUGUCAAGCUAGAGUGCAGGAGAGGAAGGUAGAAUUCCCGGUGUAGCGGUGAAAUGCGUAGAGAUCGGGAGGAGUACCAGUGGCGAAGGCGGCCUUCUGGACUGACACUGACACUGAGGUGCGAAAGCGUGGGUAGCAAACAGGAUUAGAACCCGAGUAGUC
Molecule: ribosomal RNA, 464 nt
Filed under: Vreelandella stevensii
Lineage: Bacteria; Pseudomonadati; Pseudomonadota; Gammaproteobacteria; Oceanospirillales; Halomonadaceae
Description: partial 16S ribosomal RNA
Rfam family: Bacterial small subunit ribosomal RNA
Source: RNAcentral